RNAcentral lists this ribosomal RNA (479 nucleotides) under uncultured beta proteobacterium. RNAcentral's name for it is "bacterial SSU rRNA". It matches the Rfam family "Bacterial small subunit ribosomal RNA", at positions 352 to 823 of the family's 1533-position model. The record is from RNAcentral. Lineage: Bacteria; Pseudomonadati; Pseudomonadota; Betaproteobacteria.
CAGUGGGGAAUUUUGGACAAUAGGCGCAAGCCUGAUCCAGCCAUGCCGCGUGCAGGAAGAAGGCCUUCGGGUUGUAAACUGCUUUUGUCCAGGAAGAAACGGUCUUUUCUAAUACAGAGGGCUAAUGACGGUACCGUAAGAAUAAGCACCGGCUAACUACGUGCCAGCAGCCGCGGUAAUACGUAGGGUGCAAGCGUUAAUCGGAAUUACUGGGCGUAAAGCGUGCGCAGGCGGUUAUGUAAGACAGUUGUGAAAUCCCCGGGCUCAACCUGGGAACUGCAUUUGUGACUGCAUGGCUGGAGUACGGCAGAGGGGGAUGGAAUUCCGCGUGUAGCAGUGAAAUGCGUAGAUAUGCGGAGGAACACCGAUGGCGAAGGCAAUCCCCUGGGCCUGUACUGACGCUCAUGCACGAAAGCGUGGGGAGCAAACAGGAUUAGAUACCUUGGUAGUCCACGCCCUAAACGAUGUCAACUGGUUGU